This 253-nucleotide ribosomal RNA is filed under the name uncultured bacterium. Its description in RNAcentral is "partial 16S ribosomal RNA". It matches the Rfam family "Bacterial small subunit ribosomal RNA", at positions 524 to 776 of the family's 1533-position model. The record is from RNAcentral.
UACGUAGGGUGCGAGCGUUCAUCGGAAUUACUGGGCGUAAAGCGUGCGCAGGCGGCUUUGCAAGACAGAUGUGAAAUCCCCGGGCUUAACCUGGGAACUGCAUUUGUGACUGCAUGGCUGGAGUGCGGCAGAGGGGGAUGGAAUUCCGCGUGUAGCAGUGAAAUGCGUAGAUAUGCGGAGGAACACCGAUGGCGAAGGCAAUCCCCUGGGCCUGCACUGACGCUCAUGCACGAAAGCGUGGGGAGCAAACAGG